This 378-nucleotide ribosomal RNA is filed under the name uncultured bacterium. RNAcentral describes it as "bacterial SSU rRNA". It matches the Rfam family "Bacterial small subunit ribosomal RNA", at positions 28 to 399 of the family's 1533-position model. The record is from RNAcentral.
GACGAACGCUGACGGUGUGCUUUAGACAUGCAAGUCGAACGAGAAAGCCCUUCGGGGUUAGUAAAGUGGCGAACGGGUGAGUAACACGUGGGCAAUCUGCCCCUCGCAGGGGGACAACCGGAGGAAACCCCGGCUAAUACCCCGUAAGUUCAAAGGGAGGCAUCUCCCCUUGAAGAAAGGUAGCUUCGGCCAUCCGGCGAGGGAUGAGCCCGCGGUGCAUUAGCUAGUUGGUGGGGUAACGGCCCACCAAGGCGACGAUGCAUAGCUGGUCUGAGAGGAUGAUCAGCCACACUGGGACUGAGACACGGCCCAGACUCCUACGGGAGGCAGCAGUCGGGAAUCUUGCGCAAUGGGCGAAAGCCUGACGCAGCAACACCG